GCUUGUCUCAAAGAUUAAGCCAUGCAUGUCUAAGUAUAAACGAUUUUAUACGUGAAACUGCGAAUGGCUCAUUAUAUCAGUUAUAGUUUAUUUGAUGGUCCUUACUACUUGGAUAACCGUAGUAAUUCUAGAGCUAAUACAUGCGUCAAGACCCGACUUUUUGGAAGGGUUGUAUUUAUUAGAUAAAGAACCAAUCCAUGCUUGCAUGGUUUUGUGGUGAUUCAUAAUAACUGAUCGAAUCGCAUGCCUUCGGGCGGCGAUGUAUCAUUCAAGUUUCUGACCUAUCAGCUUCCGACGGUAGGGUAUUGGCCUACCGUGGCAAUGACGGGUAACGGGGAAUUAGGGUUCGAUUCCGGAGAGGGAGCCUGAGAAACGGCUACCACAUCCAAGGAAGGCAGCAGG
This 402-nucleotide ribosomal RNA is filed under the name uncultured Colpodella. RNAcentral describes it as "partial small subunit ribosomal RNA". It matches the Rfam family "Eukaryotic small subunit ribosomal RNA", at positions 30 to 432 of the family's 1831-position model. Lineage: Eukaryota; Colpodellaceae. The record is from RNAcentral.